GACGUGCAAGGGGAUGACAAGCGAUACUUCCGUCGACUGAUCUUCCUCAGCAACAGGAAUGUGGUGCAGUCCGAAGCCAGGUUGCUGAAGGAUGUGUCUCACAAAGCCCAGAAGAAGCGGAAAAAGGACAGGAAGAAGCAGCGGCCUGCUGAUGCGGAGGACCUCCCUGCAGCCCCGGGGCAGUCCAUUGAUAAGAGUUACCUGUGUUGUGAACACCACAAAGCCAUGAUUGCUGGCCUUGCCCUGCUGAGAAACCCAGAGCUACUCCUAGGUGAGAGAGAUGCCACUGCCUUCCACAGAAGGGAGCAUAAAGAUUACAGACCUAAACAAUUGGUGUCACUUGCAUUGUAGUUGAAGAAUAGCAAUUACAAGCUGACAAUGUAUCUUUCUUCAUCUCAACCAUAUUAUAAGUUAAUGAGCAUUCUAAUUAACUGUUGCCUCAAACUCAACCUGUUAUAUUGAAAUUGUAUUGAAAUAUGUUAGAGUCUAAGUGGUAUUUUUUCUGUUCAUUUCUUUUUAAAAUUAAGGUAUAUCAUGUAUUCAAUGAGAUAUGUAAAAAUACACAGAUUUUAAUUGUCCA
This 580-nucleotide small RNA is filed under the name Pan troglodytes (chimpanzee). Its description in RNAcentral is "processed transcript". Lineage: Eukaryota; Metazoa; Chordata; Mammalia; Primates; Hominidae. The record is from RNAcentral.